Long non-coding RNA from Saccostrea echinata, 425 nucleotides. RefSeq lists it as uncharacterized. The record is from RefSeq and is a predicted model, not a curated record. The transcript has 3 exons. NCBI's taxonomy places the organism in Eukaryota, Metazoa, Mollusca, Bivalvia, Ostreida, Ostreidae.
UUGUUGUUUCUCUAAAUUAUUGAAAAGGAUAAGGAAUAUACAGAAUGGCAAUUGUCUAAAGACAUCUUAUAUAAAGACGAAAAUGAACCUUUUCUGCAGAGAUAAUAUGAUUACUUUUUAAGAAGAGAACCAUGUCAUUCUUUUAUGGUCGUCCGAGAAUAAAUUCCAAGACAACUAUCUACAAGAUCAAAGAAAGGCGAAAUCACGUAGAAAUAGAUGAGUUACGAGGAAGAGAUAGGGUCAAGGUCAGAAAGAAGGCGUCAGCUGAAGGUCGAGUUGGGGUCAGAUGAAGACAUCAGUAAAAAUCAUGAAUGUCACAGGAACACAAUCAGUGACAACAGAUGUGCUGGCAAACAAUGUCUUAAAAAUAUCAGGAAAUUUGAUAUUUCAUCCAGUGUUAAUCAAGAUGGGGGCAAUAGAAAGGA